UGGGGAAUAUUGGACAAUGGGCGCAAGCCUGAUCCAGCCAUGCCGCGUGAGUGACGAAGGCCUUAGGGUUGUAAAGCUCUUUUGGCGGGGAAGAUAAUGACGGUACCCGCAGAAUAAGCUCCGGCUAACUUCGUGCCAGCAGCCGCGGUAAUACGAAGGGAGCUAGCGUUGUUCGGAAUCACUGGGCGUAAAGCGCACGUAGGCGGAUGUGUCAGUCAGGGGUGAAAUCCCGGAGCUCAACUUCGGAACUGCCCUUGAUACAGCACGUCUUGAGUCCGAUAGAGGUGGGUGGAAUUCCUAGUGUAGAGGUGAAAUUCGUAGAUAUUCGGAGGAACACCAGUGGCGAAGGCGGCUCACUGGACCAUUACUGACGCUGAGGUGCGAAAGCGUGGGGAGCAAACAGGAUUAGAUACCCCCGUAGUCCCUGAGCGGGCUGGCAAGGCGCAU
This 447-nucleotide ribosomal RNA is filed under the name uncultured bacterium. RNAcentral describes it as "bacterial SSU rRNA". It matches the Rfam family "Bacterial small subunit ribosomal RNA", at positions 355 to 825 of the family's 1533-position model. The record is from RNAcentral.